UUGACGGCUCUGGACACUGGUUAUUCACACAGCUGGUAUAGCGCAGGCAGUGAUUGGUUGGGGCAGUGUUGGGGAGAAAGUUAUCCAAUGUGCCUCAGUCCUGCCCCAAGGGUAAGAAGGGAGUUCAGUCUCCAGGGCCCAUUCAAUCAGACAUAAUG
This 158-nucleotide small RNA is filed under the name Chrysemys picta bellii (western painted turtle). RNAcentral's name for it is "TUC338 (ENSCPBG00000012969.1)". Lineage: Eukaryota; Metazoa; Chordata; Testudines; Emydidae. The record is from RNAcentral.